UCCAGACUCCUACGGGAGGCAGCAGUGGGGAAUAUUGCACAAUGGGGGAAACCCUGAUGCAGCGACGCCGCGUGAGCGAAGAAGUAUUUCGGUAUGUAAAGCUCUAUCAGCAGGGAAGAAAAAAAUGACGGUACCUGAGUAAGAAGCACCGGCUAAAUACGUGCCAGCAGCCGCGGUAAUACGUAUGGUGCAAGCGUUAUCCGGAUUUACUGGGUGUAAAGGGAGCGUAGGCGGCGCGUUAAGUCUGAUGUGAAAACCCGAGGCUCAACCACGGGAGUGCAUUGGAAACUGGCGGGCUGGAGUGCCGGAGAGGUAAGCGGAAUUCCUAGUGUAGCGGUGAAAUGCGUAGAUAUUAGGAGGAACACCAGUGGCGAAGGCGGCUUACUGGACGGCAACUGACGCUGAGGCUCGAAAGCGUGGGGAGCAAACAGGAUUAGAUACCCUAGUAGA
Molecule: ribosomal RNA, 450 nt
Filed under: uncultured bacterium
Lineage: Bacteria
Description: bacterial SSU rRNA
Rfam family: Bacterial small subunit ribosomal RNA
Source: RNAcentral